Molecule: ribosomal RNA, 253 nt
Filed under: uncultured bacterium
Lineage: Bacteria
Description: partial 16S ribosomal RNA
Rfam family: Bacterial small subunit ribosomal RNA
Source: RNAcentral
GACAGAGGGGGCGAGCGUUAUCCGGAGUUAUUGGGCGUAAAGGGUACGUAGGCGGCUGGUCAAGUCUGGGGUUAAAGACCACAGCUUAACUGUGGGCGGGCCUUGGAAACUGACCGGCUGGAGUGGGGCAGGGGUUGCGGGAAUUCCCGGUGUAGCGGUGAAAUGCGUAGAUAUCGGGAAGAACACAUGAGGCGAAAGCGCGCAACUGGGCCCUAACUGACGCUGAGGUACGAAAGCUAGGGGAGCGAAUGGG